AGAACGAACGCUGGCGGCAUGCCUAAUACAUGCAAGUCGAACGAGAUCUUCGGGUCUAGUGGCGCACGGGUGCGUAACGCGUGGGAAUCUACCCUUGGGUUCGGAAUAACAGUUGGAAACGACUGCUAAUACCGGAUGAUGACGAAAGUCCAAAGAUUUAUCGCCCAAAGGAUGAGCCCGGCGUAGGACUUAGGC
This 195-nucleotide ribosomal RNA is filed under the name uncultured soil bacterium. Its description in RNAcentral is "partial 16S ribosomal RNA". It matches the Rfam family "Bacterial small subunit ribosomal RNA", at positions 26 to 246 of the family's 1533-position model. The record is from RNAcentral.